RNAcentral lists this ribosomal RNA (460 nucleotides) under uncultured bacterium. RNAcentral's name for it is "partial 16S ribosomal RNA". It matches the Rfam family "Bacterial small subunit ribosomal RNA", at positions 338 to 795 of the family's 1533-position model. The record is from RNAcentral.
CCUACGGGUGGCAGCAGUGAGGAAUAUUGGUCAAUGGACGCAAGUCUGAACCAGCCAUGUCGCGUGAAGGAUGACUGCCCUAUGAGUUGUAAACUUCUUUUAUAUGAGAAUAAAACAGGGUAUGCAUACCCUCUUGUAUGUACCAUAUGAAUAAGGAUCGGCUAACUCCGUGCCAGCAGCCGCGGUAAUACGGAGGAUGCAAGCGUUAUCCGGAUUUAUUGGGUUUAAAGGGUGUGUAGGUGGUUAAUUAAGUCAGCGGUGAAAGUUUGUGGCUCAACCAUAAAAUUGCCGUUGAAACUGGUUGACUUGAGAAUAUUUGCGGUAGGCGGAAUGUGUGGUGUAGCGGUGAAAUGCAUAGAGAUCACACAGAACUCCGAUUGCGAAGGCAGCUUACCAAACUAUAUCUGACAUUGAAGCACGAAAGCGUGGGGAUCAAACAGGAUUAGAUACCCCAGUAGUC